CACGCUCUCCGAUCUCGUGUCUGUUUCUCUUUCUCUCUCCCUCUCUUGCGCUGUCCCUCAUUCAUGCACUCUUCCAUCUUUUUGCCAUUGUGCCAGCUCAAUUUAAAUGUAUCUGCUCUGUAUCUGUUCAAGUGGAGAUAAUCCAUGCAAAUCAGGAGCCGUGGCUCUCAAUGCCUGGUUCACAGAGAGGACUCAGCUUGAGGAGGUCACUCGUUCACAGCCGCUCCUCCCAUUAUAUUUUUCCCCUUAUUGCAGAACUGCUGUAUGUAUACAGUGACUGAAAGGACUCAAUUUACUGCAACUGCUGCCUGGCUUUACUUACAACUUUUUUUUUAUAAAGGAACUUACCUCCAUCUGUCUUUUCAAGUUUCAGGGUAGAAAGGCUCCCUUUAACUCCUGAAGACAGUAAAUCACAGUCUGUGUGGUGGUUCUCAGAAGACACUUAAAGGACUGAACUGGAUGCUCUACAUAGCACCCUUGCCAAAAGGGUUCGGAAAUGACUUCCAGCUUCCCACAGUAAUAAAAUGGCACUGUUUGGCAUCUUCGAGGUUACAGACCACUUACUCUAAACUUCACAAAUGGUUCUGAAGAGUAUGGAGCCUACGUAGACUCAUAAGAGCCCAAUGUUUCCAAAGGACAUUAAUUUUGAUUUCUCUGAUGAAGGCUUGUGGCUGUUCUUAUGCUUUACAAAACAUUACCAAAUCAGAGUCGAAAAGAAAACUUUGGAAUUUGAAGGGAGCUUGAUAACUGUGUUCUAUGUGGAUCCAGCAUUACAACUGAUAAGGUAAGGGCAAUUAUAUCUCUUUGUUUGAUCAUUAAAGUCAGAGUAUAAAGAAAUCUACUACUACUCCAUCUUCCCUUUCAAAUGUAGAUUACUAGGGCAAUCUUGCCAGUGUAUUUCAGGAUCUUGAACUUGAGGGAUAGAAUUGUCUGGUGCCUGCUUUAAAAAGAGAUAGCCAGCCCCUGCAAUAACUGUCGGUACAGUUUCUAGCUAAUGAAAUGCAGAGAAAUGAGGAAGACGGUGAGCUGUGCUUGUGUGGUAACAGGUGAUUUCAGAGGAAAAUGUCAAAGUAGCUCAUCUCCCAAGGCCCUACAUGAUGAUGUUUUAGUAGCCACUUUUAUUCAGAGAUUUAAAUUUAUGAAAAGAGAAUCAUAAUGACAUCUUAAUUGCUCUGAAGGUGUCUUUUCAAAAGAAUUGUCACAGGAACAGUUCCUUCAGAGGAACAGAGAAAUCAAAGGUGUUUGGCUUUUUGUGAAAGAGUUGAGGAAAGCCUUCUGUCCUAGAAGUUAACAUUUAUGGAUCUCUCUGGCAAAUAAUAGUCUCCGUUUCAAGUCCAUUAUGUUUGAUGAGGAUUCAAAAAGUCUUAAUCGAAUCUAGCAGUCAUUGCUGCUUCUUUCUUUCCUAAUCUCCCUGAUUUUGAAUUAUGAGAUCUUUAUUUCUUAAAAUAAAACAUCAUUUGUUAAAGCCUUUUCAAAAUUAAGACUAAAACCAUCACAACUAAUUGUUUCUUGGCAUCAAAUAAACAAAUUUUUAAAGUUUGAUAAAUUGUUUGUAAGCUCUAAUCAAGUGGGUGGAGUCAUAAAAGAGGGGAGGGAACCCACUGAAACAAUAUAUGUAAUUUGUUUGCAUUAGUAUUUGAGAUAAUUAUAAAGCAAGUGUUCAAAAGCUGUCCUUUAUACCAGAAGGGGGAAAGAUAGGAGAGGAAAAGCAUAAGAACACCCAGCCAUUGUCAGCUGCUCUCUAAAAUAUUGCUGGAUUCACAAUUGUCGAACAUUAGCAUUACUAAGAAUGCCGGGAACAGAGUGUCACGUUGAAUGUAGAAUGAUGACUUCAUAGGAAGGCAAAGCUGAGGAUAUGACCAGUUUGCAGUCACAGAAAAAUCAGCUUUAAUUAAUUUGAGUGCCAGCUCUGUGUAUAAUUACACAGCAUGAGAGUUUGCAUGCAAAUGCAGAAAUGCUGAUUGUUCAAAUACUUGCACUUGCUCAUUAAUACGUUGGGACUAAGCAGGGCUGGCAAGCAGACAGGGUACGGCACACACGGUGCCUGCAGGCUAAUUUGUAUUAUACUGUAGUUAGCAAACAGAUUUCAGAUGUUUCUCCUUUCUUUAAAUAAUAAGCACAAAAAUAUGUAUGUCAUUUUCAUCGGUGACAUACCUUGUUUUCUUUUUGAUUAAAAUAAAAUGUUUUGGGUUUCUGCAAAAGUGUUGAGGGUACAUUAAACAUAACUAGAACACUGAUUUAUAACCAUUUGAUAUCAGUAACACUGAUGCCAGGUCUGGGAUAUUUCUAUUUGACAUUUCAUGUAAUUGUCCAAACUGAUCAUAUUUCAUAAUUGGUGAAACUAUAUUCAAACAAUAUAAGUUUAUGAUUAAAUCCCAUGGAUGAACAAAGGGAGAGACACAGCUGUAUUGCCUACUUGUCUGUCAAAUCCAGUAUCUUGUAGCCAGCAUUGGCUAGGUCCAGAAGCUUCAGUAGGACUGAUUUCUUUGUGAAAGUACCUAAUCCUAAAAUGUCCUGUGGUGAGAUUUUCCAUUCUGACCACUGAAUCUUUUCAGAGAUCAGCUUCAACCAAAUGCCCAACUACCUUGACAACACCCUAGGGGAAAAAGUCUGCCUAAAUCACUAUGCCAGGAACAUCUGACAAUUUAUUAAGGAAAUUGCAUUAAAAAAAAGGGAUUUGCCCAAGUUCUCCAAAUCUGGUACUACUAUCAAUGCUGUCAGUUUUCUUGCCAACAUUUCAAUGUGUUUCAGUUCUACAAAUAUUUAUACAGCACCCAUUUCUGUUAGACACUGGAAAGCAGAGGAUAUACCAUAGUAAGCCAGAUAGAUACAGUCUCUGCAUUGGCUAUCUCUUUUCUCCCAGGAAUUGUCUCAGGAAGGAACCUAACUCAGUUCCCUGGGAAAUACAUGCUUUUAGCAGUCAUUACCUUGGGGAAAACCCACAUUACAGAAACUUGAAUCUAUGGCCUUCCUUAAAUACAGUUUUCAUGGUCCUUCUGGGAGCCUGACUUGCUCUCUGAUAU
Long non-coding RNA from Cercocebus atys (sooty mangabey), 3023 nucleotides. RefSeq lists it as uncharacterized. The transcript is spliced from 5 exons. The record is from RefSeq and is a predicted model, not a curated record. NCBI's taxonomy places the organism in Eukaryota, Metazoa, Chordata, Mammalia, Primates, Cercopithecidae.